Molecule: transfer RNA, 68 nt
Filed under: Lampadena atlantica
Lineage: Eukaryota; Metazoa; Chordata; Actinopteri; Myctophiformes; Myctophidae
Description: tRNA-Phe
Source: RNAcentral
GCUCACGUAGCUUACUCAAAGCAUAACACUGAAGAUGUUAAGACGGACCAUAAAAGGCCCCGAGGGCA